CACAUGUUAUGCCGCUUCAUUGUUAUGCAAAUGAGCGACUAUAACCGGUUGUUUGUGUACUUUAACACACAUGAUGUAUCAUUGAAAACGUGUAGGCAUUGUAUGGUAUGAAUAUUUCUAUAUGUCUGUAAUUUAAACUAUAAUUGCUUAAUUUAAUACAUUAAUUAAUUGUUACAUGUACUUUGCCAGAGAGAUGUCUCAUUGACAAUCAAUCAUAUGCCAUCCUUUUCUUCUUAUUUAUCUGUAUAUAUUUUUAAUACACACACAUGUAUAUUAUAUGUAUAAUGAUUUGAAUUCAAACAAGUAUCAGAUGUUGUUCAGUUUCAUUUCAUCCUUCUUGGUGUUACAAGCUGUUUUGUCAAUCUUUUUUUACACAUUGGUAUUCCACUUUUUUUUUUUUAUUGCAGAGCAUUAAUAUUGACAGGAAACCCAAACAAUAUAGGAAAAGGUUACAUUUUCACCUAUAUCUGUAUUCAUCAUGUUGCAAAACAAUAUAUAUCCAUGAUUGGUGAAGUUAUUUCACUCAAGUAUGGGUCCUUUAGCUACCCUACACUAUGAUAUUUAUUUAUUCUUUGAUUGAUCCAGUACUUUAUAGUGACUGUCAUGUCCAUAUUCAUAUCAUGUCUGAUUCAUCAGUCAGUGGAAAUACUAGAAACAACAUCCUAGCUGGUUUUUCAAUUUUUCCUACAGACAAUAAAAACACUGCUGUAUUUCUUUGAUAACUUGUACAUGUUGUUGUGAUGUAACAAAUUACUUUUCAUAAACUACAUGUACAAAAUGAAAGAAAGUAAAGGUAAGAUAUUAAAGUUAUACUCAAAUAGUUCUUCAUUUUAGGGGUAAAAGGUGACAGGGCACCCUGCCACUUUUAAG
RNAcentral lists this long non-coding RNA (870 nucleotides) under Mytilus galloprovincialis (Mediterranean mussel). The record is from RNAcentral. Lineage: Eukaryota; Metazoa; Mollusca; Bivalvia; Mytilida; Mytilidae.